Molecule: long non-coding RNA, 5361 nt
Organism: Camelus dromedarius (Arabian camel)
Lineage: Eukaryota; Metazoa; Chordata; Mammalia; Artiodactyla; Camelidae
Exons: 2
Source: RefSeq, a predicted model, not a curated record
GCCGCGCAGCCACUCGGUGCACUUGCGCACCAGGCCCUCGUCGGCGGCCUCGGCCUCCUCCUCGUACUCCACGUCGUCGUACUUGUGCCGCUCGUUGAGCAGCGACACCUUGAGCAGCGGGCGCAGGCUCAGGUGUGGCAGCAUCUCCCAGCACCACAAAGCUCCCUUGGGACGGAGAUGCGCCUCGGUCCCAGCAGUGGGGUGCCAGGCCCCCACCCCUGCCGUCACACUGCAGAGGAGGAAAGUCUGCGGCCAGGCUAAUGGGGUGAGGAGCGCCCUCCGCUCCACUGCGACAGAGACCCGGCAUUUUCCUCCGAGAGAAAGUGAGAGUCCUCAGACUGACACCCACACCCCCACCAGUCUGGUCACCGGUGCCGUCCAGGUCCCUCCGCAUCUCGGCCCAGCCCAGAAACUUGGAGGCUCGGGGAGCUGGAGUCAGCCUGACCUCUGGGGCGGAAAAGUAAACGCUGAGCACUAUCCCCCCAUCACCCACCCAGGCUGGAAGGGCGUUCCUGCCCCCCCUCUCCCCGGAGGGCCCCAUAAGCACCCCUGUGGGCUUCCAGGAGGCCCCAUACCUCAUGGUGGGCCACUGCCCCGGAGCGACGGAGGAGUUAGCAUUUCUGAAGGCACUCUGGUCCUCAGACUCUGCUGAAGCAUCCAGAUGACAACAUCACUGACCCCUGCCAGCGACUUUGUCCACCUGAAGCCUCCAGCCCCUUGAAGUGGAGGCUAGGAAGACCCGCGUGGGCCUGAAGGGGGCGUGGGAAAGCAGCAGGUGUCUCCUCCCUGUCACUGGUGGGCUGGCUGUUGAGGAAUCCGUUAACACAUUCUGUUUGGUUGACUUGACUGGCCGGUGGCAGUUAUCAGUAAGGAGGGUCACCCCAGGAGCACACAGCCAAACUUACGUUCAAAAUAGGGGAUGUGAUGGAAAAGUGAUUAGUCAAGAAAUACAGUCCAGUUUAACUCAUAAUUUACGUGGGAGUUUGCAUAACAUGCCCAGAACACAGCAAUGGGGAUAAACUAUACAUGACACAGUAAAACUGGAGUACUGGAACCCUGUGCCCAGCUAACCUGCUUCACAGCCCUCUCUGGGAUCACCAGAGCACAAGGGUUGAUCUCUAAAACACACGAUUACAUUUCAUCUUGAGGGUAUGAAACUUACUAUUUCCAGUAAGCUGGUUGAUUUGAAAGGUCAUUUAAGCAAAAUCAAAUAUAGGUACUCAGAAUGGUUCUGAUCUUUUACUCAUGAUAUUUAAUUUUCAGAUUACAUUUAUUUUCAAAUUUCAAAUGAACAGUAACUAUAAUUUUCCACUAUUUGGAAAUUAAUGGUACUUUUUUCCUCCUACUUUUCUGUCAGAGUCAGUGUGUGGACAAAGACUUUUCACUGUAACAACCCUUAAUAUUUCCAGAAUGAAUAAAAUGUAUGCGGAAAAUAUUUGUCACUAAAAUAAAAUACCAAGAGGAGCAUAUCCAGGGAAAGUGGAGGGUAACUGUUCCACAGGUUCGAACUGAAAAUUACGGAGACUGUAGUGUGACGACCCCAAAGGGCCGUGGGCGUGCCCCCCCUUCACCACCCGGGCCCCCAACACCAUCCAGAACGCGCGUGCGCUGCCUGCGCUGUGUCCGCGCCAUGGAGCUGCGGGCUCAUUAGAUGACAGUGAUGAUCACACCGUGACACCAGCAAAGUGGCCAUUGUUUUCAUUUUCCUCAUUAGCUUGCUAAGGUCUUAUUUCUGCGAAGACAUGUACUUCCAUGUUCAGAAAAUUUCAUAAAGGGAAACUCAUCAGUAUUAUUUUCUUAAUUACACCCACUUCCUCCCAUAUUCUGUACUUUGUUUCUGUAUUUUGAGUCAAAGCACUGUACUUGAUGUAGAGGUAACUACUCCAAUGCCUAGAACUAAAACUAAAUCUGAAUUUUAAAACAUGGAAAGCUAAUUCUAGUUUUAAAAAUCCUAUUUUAUUACUGAGAAAUAGAGAACUUGGCCAAUAAUUUUUUUAAAAACCCUAAAUUUCUUCUAACAUUGGUCUGUUACUAUGAAAGGCUUUGGGAGUAGAAAACAUUUAGGAAGUUGUUCAGAUGUUACUUACUUUAGAUUCUUUCUCUUUUCCAUCAUUAAGGUAAUAACCCAUUUUAUCUGGAUUACUUCAUUGGAACCUCAUGAGAACCUGACAAGAGAAGAACCAGGAAUACUUGCAUUUUACAGAUGAGGAAACCACGGGUUGCCCAGGUAGCCGCAUCCAGCCCGCGGCUAGGGUGAGCCCUGCAGAGGCCGUGAGACCCCAGGGCACGCCCUCCGCUCCGUGCCGGUGGGCCUGCAGACGGCUUUACGCUCUUGGGACCCAAAGAGCUUCUGUUUCGUGGCCUCUAUCUACUGAUGUUAACCUUGUUAGAAAUUUAAACUGAGACUCCAAAGAGAUGUUUAUUAAUACAUUUAAUGAAAAUAAUAUUUUCUAAAACAAACAAAUCAAAGAUGAGUGGCGGCUCUGGGCUUGAUCCUUGUGCGAUCACAGGCCUGCAGAUGCGUGACUCUGCUGUGCACUCAAGGUAGAUAGAGUGAGAGGUGCGGUGUCUACGGGUUAUUACCAAAGUAGACCCUGAAAGGGCCCCGGGGACCCCAGGCGUGUCUCUGGCCUGGGCCACACGUGGACAGUUGCUGCAGCGCCUGCCGGGUUACAGAAUGAACCCACUCUGAUGUCCCUAACCCUCAUCCUGGCUGGUAGCCACGUCCUCCACUUUGAAAGCAAAACUUAAUACUCGGUGCCUUCCUGUAACAACCUGGGAAAAAGUGAAGCGAAUAAAAACAUGUGAUCGUGCAGAAGUCAGAGGCUGCGCGAUUAGAAAUGGCAUGCCUUAGGGUCUGCGACAUCUUUUUCUUGCGAAGUUUGGGUUUUAGCUAUAUCAAAGGCACACACAGUGUCCCCUUAGGGCAGGGAGAAGCAGUGGCUCUGAAGCUCAUACUGUGUGUGGAACCUGUGUGCUGAGCUCUGGCUCAGAAACCCUGGGCCACGGACACUUGUGGGAACCUAGCCUGGAGAGAUGGGGUCAGGCAGCGAGGUCCCGGCAGAGUGGAAGAAAACGAGGCGAGGACAGAAACCCGAGUAGUCCGAGCCGCCCUGGGGGGCACGGUCGCUGUUACCCAGCAGGUGCGCCUCCCCGCGGCCUCGGGGAGGGUGCCUUCUCCAGCAGAGCGCUCAGUGUCGGCUGCGGCCCCGUCACCUCCGCGUCCUGUUCCACAGUAAACACAGGCGCCGGACGUUCCCCACGCGAGCCAGGCGGUUUCCUGCGCUCCCUCCCUCCCGCAAAAGCAAUCUGCUUGUGAAGUUGUUCCUUAAAUAAUUCACUUGAAAGGAAGAUGCUGAAAGUAAGGGUGGCAGCAUGUCAGCUGAGGAAGGCGCUCUGUCAACCGUCGGAAGGUCCCAGCACAGGGACUCUGCACGUGCCGGGGCCUUCACCCCAGCACCGCGCGUGCUACAGCCGCGGUCAGGCGGCUUUGUAAAAGCCGAGCGUGGUUUUGAGUGGCCUUGUGAAUGUUGUCACAGCUAGUUUGCAAGUCGGGGGGUUUGUUUAACGUUCAAGGGAAGAACAGCCGAGUCCGCGUUCCCUGGGUCCCAGCGUUCCCGGGAUGGGGGGUGGAGGGGUCUGCAGGCCGGGACCCAGCUGUUUCCUCACCUCACCCCUGUCUCUGGGGCGGGUCCCCCGCAGACCCCUACAGGCCUUCUGUGGACGCCGCCACAUGGAGGGCCAGCCCAUCACUCCCCAGCCAGUUCCUGACAGGACACCAGUCACUGACCGCCAGGGCCUGUGAGGCCACCCCAAGGACUUGUCAUUACUGCCAUCACCAGCAGGACAGGCUCCGCACCGCGUCCUGCCGUCUCUGCCGGACUCCUGCACGGCAGUCCUGGUGCUGUCGAGCCUGUGGGGCUGGACGCCCCUGUCCCGCCAUCCUGAGGGCCGCUCUGGGACCACUCGGGUACCUAGCGUUAUGUCCCAGAGGCUCACAGAGAUGAGUAUAAAGCAGCUUUUCAGAUGCCCACGGCCCUUUUUAAUGUCCUAUCUGCUGGGUGCCGUGGCCAGGCAGGGCUCACCCCCGUGUCCAGCAGGUACCAGCAGAGCCUCCUGUCAGACGUCUUCUUGAGAUAAGGAAGUGGAAGCUUACAGAGGCCAGCACCUUGUCCAAGUGCAAACAGCUGGACGUGGGGGAGCUGCCUGCCCUCCAGACUGUCCAGGCUGCGGGCCAUCUUGGGGUCACCGAGCUCUGCUCCCCUUCUGACAGCUGCCAGGGCCUCCAACCUGAGAGGGCCCUGUGUUCAUGGCAGACUUCAACUCUUGGGGGGGAAUGCCUUUGAGGAGCUGGCAAAAGCAACGGAAUACAGAAACAGUCCUGCAGUGGCGGGGGAGGUGAAGCCUUUCCACCAACCCGCCUGUGAACCUUGGCACGAACCCCUCAGCGAGGCGGAGAGGGCAGCAGGGACAUGUGUCCGGGGUGUGGCCUUCACGCUGUCCACCAGCUGCAGGACGAGCCGGAGACCUGGAGGUAAGGGCCACAGUGGGAAAUAGGAACACCAGGGUGGGGACACGUGCGGACAAGCCUGCUAAGGAUCUGGACCUCUGACCACGACAGGCCCCCUCCCAGAGGGGACGCCGGUCCUGAUGAAGUGUGCAGGGAAGAGCCUGACGAAUUCUCCCUGAGAUUAACAAGACUGACCUGUGACCUUCACAGUGCCUAGCACGGGCAUGGGCAGACCUCUCUCACUGUCCCAUCCUGCGGGGGACACACAUGCACCAUGUCCCACUCACGCCCAUGGGCUCUGAAGCCCACGGCGAUGUCCCUCCUCCCCCGUAGGGAUGGGGAUGGACCAGCUAUGUGGCCAGACCUGCAUUCCAGCCCCGACUCCGGGAGCGUCAGUGCUGUAGCCGCCUGGGCUGGACAGGGCAUCUCCACGAAGCCAGAGCUCCGAUCAGCUGGGAAACAGCCUCGCUGUCCCAGGGGUCACCCUCCUGCGCCAUCUCCCCGGACGGAGUAACUCUCUUCGCUGCCCUGAGGCCAUGCCCCCACCUCCACGGUGGACACCUAACCCCAAGCUGCCCUGUAUCCUGCGCUCGGACUGUCUGCACAGUACAGCAGUGUGCUUCCAGCCAGCUCUGGGGACACGGCGCUCCAAGUGUGACUCCAGCGGCGGCCUCUGUCUAAAGAUGAAGACACUGUCCAGGAUAAGGUGUGUCUGUUGCCUGCCCACUGCCCCUCUCUUGUGCUGACCCCUAGCAGACCCUCGCUUCAGUCUGGCCGAGCCCGACCACUCAUGCAGGACCAAGCUGAGCAAGUUAUAGCAUUUCAAUUAAAAGAACACAGUCCGUCUGGAA